AUGGAGGUUAAUCUUUCGGAUGUACCAGACACUAUGCAAUGGAAGCUUUCCAGGUCAGGUAUCUUCUCGGUUAAAUCCAUGUACACGGAUUUGAUUAAUACCGGGACUAUCCCGAGGAUGGUACAUAUUUGGAAAGUUAAGGUGCCCUUGAAGAUAAAAGUAUUUAUGUGGUUUGUGCAUAAGGGUGUCAUUCUUACUAAAGAUAACUUAGCUAAGCGUACGUUGGAAGGAAGUAAAAGAUGUUGCUUUUGUAAUCAAGAUGAAACAAUAGAACAUCUAUUUAUCAAAUGUUCGCUUGCUAAACUGCUUUGGAGAACUAUCCAUGUUACAUUCAACAUAACUCCACCUCUCACGAUAUCACAUUUGUUUGAUAACUGGUUGGCUGGAGUG
This 390-nucleotide ribosomal RNA is filed under the name Triticum aestivum (bread wheat). Its description in RNAcentral is "partial small subunit ribosomal RNA". Lineage: Eukaryota; Viridiplantae; Streptophyta; Magnoliopsida; Poales; Poaceae. The record is from RNAcentral.